Molecule: ribosomal RNA, 429 nt
Filed under: uncultured bacterium
Lineage: Bacteria
Description: bacterial SSU rRNA
Rfam family: Bacterial small subunit ribosomal RNA
Source: RNAcentral
AACGAACGCUGGCGGCAUGCCUAACACAUGCAAGUCGAACGAAGCCUUCGGGCUUAGUGGCGCAUGGGUGCGUAACGCGUGGGAAUCUGCCCUUGGGUUCGGAAUAACAGUUAGAAAUGACUGCUAAUACCGAAUGAUGUCUUCGGACCAAAGAUUUAUCGCCCAAGGAUGAGCCCGCGUCGGAUUAGCUAGUUGGUGAGGUAAAGGCUCACCAAGGCGACGAUCCGUAGCUGGUCUGAGAGGAUGAUCAGCCACACUGGGACUGAGAUACGGCCCAGACUCCUACGGGAGGCAGCAGUGGGGAAUAUUGGACAAUGGGGGGCAACCCGUGAUCCAGCAAUGCCGCGUGAGUGAUGAAGGCCUUAGGGUUGUAAAGCUCUUUUGCCAGGGAAGAUGAUGACUGUACCUGGAGAAUAAGCCCCGGCUAAC